UGGGGGAUAUUGCACAAUGGGCGAAAGCCUGAUGCAGCGACGCCGCGUGGGGGAUGAAGGCCUUCGGGUUGUAAACUUCUUUUGCUCUGAACAAGGCAUGCUAAUGGGUGUGUUGAGUGUAGGGGUUGAUUAGCGCCGGCUAACUACGCGCCAGCAGCCGCGGUAAUACGUAGGGCGCGAGCGUUGUCCGGAAUUAUUGGGCGUAAAGGGCUUGUAGGUGGCUGGUUGCGUCUGUCGUGAAAGCUCAUGGCUUAACUGUGGGUUUGCGGUGGGUACGGGCUGGCUUGAGUGCAGUAGGGGAGGCUGGAAUUCCUGGUGUAGCGGUGGAAUGCGCAGAUAUCAGGAGGAAUACCGGUGGCGAAGGCGGGUCUCUGGGCUGUUACUGACACUGAGGAGCGAAAGCAUGGGGAGCGAACAGG
This 419-nucleotide ribosomal RNA is filed under the name bacterium. RNAcentral describes it as "partial 16S ribosomal RNA". It matches the Rfam family "Bacterial small subunit ribosomal RNA", at positions 355 to 776 of the family's 1533-position model. The record is from RNAcentral.